This 492-nucleotide ribosomal RNA is filed under the name uncultured bacterium. RNAcentral describes it as "partial 16S ribosomal RNA". It matches the Rfam family "Bacterial small subunit ribosomal RNA", at positions 29 to 507 of the family's 1533-position model. The record is from RNAcentral.
AGUGAACGCUGGCGGUAGGCCUAACACAUGCAAGUCGAACGGCAGCACAGUAAGAGCUUGCUCUUACGGGUGGCGAGUGGCGGACGGGUGAGGAAUGCAUCGGAAUCUACUUUUUCGUGGGGGAUAACGUAGGGAAACUUACGCUAAUACCGCAUACGACCUACGGGUGAAAGCAGGGGAUCUUCGGACCUUGCGCGAUUGAAUGAGCCGAUGUCGGAUUAGCUAGUUGGCGGGGUAAAGGCCCACCAAGGCGACGAUCCGUAGCUGGUCUGAGAGGAUGAGCAGCCACACUGGACCUGAGACACGGUCCAGACUCCUACGGGAGGCAGCAGUGGGGAAUAUUGGACAAGGGGCGCAAGCCUGAUCCAGCCAUACCGCGUGGGUGAAGAAGGCCUUCGGGUUGUAAAGCCCUUUUGUUGGGAAAGAAAAGCAGCAGGUUAAUACCCCGCUGUUCUGACGGUACCCAAAGAAUAAGCACCGGCUAACUUCGUG